Molecule: ribosomal RNA, 391 nt
Filed under: Chrysophyceae sp.
Lineage: Eukaryota; Chrysophyceae
Description: partial small subunit ribosomal RNA
Rfam family: Eukaryotic small subunit ribosomal RNA
Source: RNAcentral
AUUCCAGCUCCAAUAGCAUAUACUAAAGUUGUUGCAGUUAAAAAGCUCGUAGUUGAAUUUCUGGUCUUGGACAGCGGUCUGCCUCAAACGAGGCACGCACCAUCUAUCCGAGUCCAUCCUCGGGGAAAACAUGUCUGUGAUUCAGUUCAUGGGCAUGGGAUCCUCGUCAUUUACUGUGAGCAAAAUAGAGUGUUCAAAGCAGGCUUAUGCCGUUGAAUAUUUUAGCAUGGAAUAAUAAGAUAAGACCUUGGUCUAUUUUGUUGGUUUGUACUCCAAGGUAAUGAUUAAUAGGGACAGUUGGGGGUAUUCGUAUUCAAUUGUCAGAGGUGAAAUUCUUGGAUUUAUUGAAGACGAACUACUGCGAAAGCAUUUACCAAGGAUGUUUUCAUCA